GAUGAACGCUGGCGGCGUGCCUAAUACAUGCAAGUCGAGCGAAUGGAUUGAGAGCUUGCUCUUAUGAAGUUAGCGGCGGACGGGUGAGUAACACGUGGGUAACCUGCCCAUAAGACUGGGAUAACUCCGGGAAACCGGGGCUAAUACCGGAUAACAUUUUGAACCGCAUGGUUCGAAAUUGAAAGGCGGCUUCGGCUGUCACUUAUGGAUGGACCCGCGUCGCAUUAGCUAGUUGGUGAGGUAACGGCGCACCAAGGCAACGAUGCGUAGCCGACCUGAGAGGGUGAUCGGCGACACUGGGACUGAGACACGGCCCAGACUCCUACGGGAGGCAGCAGUAGGGAAUCUUCCGCAAUGGACGAAAGUCUGACGGAGCAACGCCGCGUGAGUGAUGAAGGCUUUCGGGUCGUAAAACUCUGUUGUUAGGGAAGAACAAGUGCUAGUUGAAUAAGCUGGCACCUUGACGGUACCUAACCAGAAAGCCACGGCUAACUACGUGCCAGCCGCCGCAGUAA
Molecule: ribosomal RNA, 515 nt
Filed under: uncultured bacterium
Lineage: Bacteria
Description: partial 16S ribosomal RNA
Rfam family: Bacterial small subunit ribosomal RNA
Source: RNAcentral